This 253-nucleotide ribosomal RNA is filed under the name uncultured bacterium. RNAcentral describes it as "partial 16S ribosomal RNA". It matches the Rfam family "Bacterial small subunit ribosomal RNA", at positions 524 to 776 of the family's 1533-position model. The record is from RNAcentral.
UACGUAGGGUGCAAGCGUUAAUCGGAAUUACUGGGCGUAAAGCGUGCGCAGGCGGUGAUGUAAGACAGAUGUGAAAUCCCCGGGCUCAACCUGGGAACUGCAUUUGUGACUGCAUCGCUGGAGUACGGCAGAGGGGGAUGGAAUUCCGCGUGUAGCAGUGAAAUGCGUAGAUAUGCGGAGGAACACCAAUGGCGAAGGCAAUCCCCUGGGCCUGUACUGACGCUCAUGCACGAAAGCGUGGGGAGCAAACAGG